RNAcentral lists this ribosomal RNA (2201 nucleotides) under Citrobacter freundii. RNAcentral describes it as "partial 23S ribosomal RNA". It matches the Rfam family "Bacterial large subunit ribosomal RNA", at positions 1 to 2215 of the family's 2925-position model. The record is from RNAcentral. Lineage: Bacteria; Pseudomonadati; Pseudomonadota; Gammaproteobacteria; Enterobacterales; Enterobacteriaceae.
GGGUUGUGAGGUUAAGCGACUAAGCGUACACGGUGGAUGCCCUGGCAGUCAGAGGCGAUGAAGGACGUGCUAAUCUGCGAUAAGCGUCGGUAAGGUGAUAUGAACCGUUAUAACCGGCGAUUUCCGAAUGGGGAAACCCAGUGUGUUUCGACACACUAUCAUUACGUGAAUACAUAGCGUAAUGAAGCGAACCAGGGGAACUGAAACAUCUAAGUACCCCGAGGAAAAGAAAUCAACCGAGAUUCCCCCAGUAGCGGCGAGCGAACGGGGAGCAGCCCAGAGUCUGAAUCAGCUUGUGUGUUAGUGGAACGGUCUGGAAAGUCCGACGGUACAGGGUGAUAGUCCCGUACACCAAAAUGCACAGGUUGUGAACUCGAAGAGUAGGGCGGGACACGUGGUAUCCUGUCUGAAUAUGGGGGGACCAUCCUCCAAGGCUAAAUACUCCUGACUGACCGAUAGUGAACCAGUACCGUGAGGGAAAGGCGAAAAGAACCCCGGCGAGGGGAGUGAAAAAGAACCUGAAACCGUGUACGUACAAGCAGUGGGAGCCUCUUUAUGGGGUGACUGCGUACCUUUUGUAUAAUGGGUCAGCGACUUAUAUUCUGUAGCAAGGUUAACCGUAUAGGGGAGCCGAAGGGAAACCGAGUCUUAACUGGGCGUUAAGUUGCAGGGUAUAGACCCGAAACCCGGUGAUCUAGCCAUGGGCAGGUUGAAGGUUGGGUAACACUAACUGGAGGACCGAACCGACUAAUGUUGAAAAAUUAGCGGAUGACUUGUGGCUGGGGGUGAAAGGCCAAUCAAACCGGGAGAUAGCUGGUUCUCCCCGAAAGCUAUUUAGGUAGCGCCUCGUGAAUUCAUCUUCGGGGGUAGAGCACUGUUUCGGCUAGGGGGUCAUCCCGACUUACCAACCCGAUGCAAACUGCGAAUACCGAAGAAUGUUAUCACGGGAGACACACGGCGGGUGCUAACGUCCGUCGUGAAGAGGGAAACAACCCAGACCGCCAGCUAAGGUCCCAAAGUCAUGGUUAAGUGGGAAACGAUGUGGGAAGGCACAGACAGCCAGGAUGUUGGCUUAGAAGCAGCCAUCAUUUAAAGAAAGCGUAAUAGCUCACUGGUCGAGUCGGCCUGCGCGGAAGAUGUAACGGGGCUAAACCAUGCACCGAAGCUGCGGCAGCGACACUAUGUGUUGUUGGGUAGGGGAGCGUUCUGUAAGCCGUUGAAGGUGUGCUGUGAGGUAUGCUGGAGGUAUCAGAAGUGCGAAUGCUGACAUAAGUAACGAUAAUGCGGGUGAAAAACCCGCACGCCGGAAGACCAAGGGUUCCUGUCCAACGUUAAUCGGGGCAGGGUGAGUCGACCCCUAAGGCGAGGCCGAAAGGCGUAGUCGAUGGGAAACAGGUUAAUAUUCCUGUACUUGGUGUUACUGCGAAGGGGGGACGGAGAAGGCUAUGUUAGCCGGGCGACGGUUGUCCCGGUUUAAGCAUGUAGGCGGAGGUUCCAGGUAAAUCCGGUACCUUUUUAACGCUGAGGUGUGAUGACGAGGCACUACGGUGCUGAAGUAACAAAUGCCCUGCUUCCAGGAAAAGCCUCUAAGCAUCAGGUAACACGAAAUCGUACCCCAAACCGACACAGGUGGUCAGGUAGAGAAUACCAAGGCGCUUGAGAGAACUCGGGUGAAGGAACUAGGCAAAAUGGUGCCGUAACUUCGGGAGAAGGCACGCUGAUAUGUAGGUGAAGUGAUUUACUCAUGGAGCUGAAAUCAGUCGAAGAUACCAGCUGGCUGCAACUGUUUAUUAAAAACACAGCACUGUGCAAACACGAAAGUGGACGUAUACGGUGUGACGCCUGCCCGGUGCCGGAAGGUUAAUUGAUGGGGUUAUCCGUAAGGAGAAGCUCUUGAUCGAAGCCCCGGUAAACGGCGGCCGUAACUAUAACGGUCCUAAGGUAGCGAAAUUCCUUGUCGGGUAAGUUCCGACCUGCACGAAUGGCGUAAUGAUGGCCAGGCUGUCUCCACCCGAGACUCAGUGAAAUUGAACUCGCUGUGAAGAUGCAGUGUACCCGCGGCAAGACGGAAAGACCCCGUGAACCUUUACUAUAGCUUGACACUGAACACUGGUCCUUGAUGUGUAGGAUAGGUGGGAGGCUUUGAAGUGUGGACGCCAGUCUGCAUGGAGCCAUCCUUGAAAUACCACCCUUUAAUGGCU